Molecule: ribosomal RNA, 465 nt
Filed under: uncultured bacterium
Lineage: Bacteria
Description: partial 16S ribosomal RNA
Rfam family: Bacterial small subunit ribosomal RNA
Source: RNAcentral
GACGAACGCUGGCGGCGUGCUUAACACAUGCAAGUCGAACGGAAAGGCCCUGCUUGCAGGGUACUCGAGUGGCGAACGGGUGAGUAACACGUGGGUGAUCUGCCCUGCACUUCGGGAUAAGCCUGGGAAACUGGGUCUAAUACCGGAUAGGAGCCAUUUUUAGUGUGAUGGUUGGAAAGUUUUUUCGGUGUAGGAUGAGCUCGCGGCCUAUCAGCUUGUUGGUGGGGUAAUGGCCUACCAAGGCCGCGACGGGUAGCCGGCCUGAGAGGGUGGACGGCCACAUUGGGACUGAGAUACGGCCCAGACUCCUACGGGAGGCAGCAGUGGGGAAUAUUGCACAAUGGGCGCAAGCCUGAUGCAGCGACGCCGCGUGGGGGAUGACGGCCUUCGGGUUGUAAACUCCUUUCGCUAGGGACGAAGCUUUUUGUGACGGUACCUAGAGAAGAAGCACCGGCUAACUACGUG